Molecule: ribosomal RNA, 404 nt
Filed under: uncultured bacterium
Lineage: Bacteria
Description: bacterial SSU rRNA
Rfam family: Bacterial small subunit ribosomal RNA
Source: RNAcentral
AUUGAACGCUGGCGGCAUGCUUUACACAUGCAAGUCGAACGGUAACAGGUCUUUCGGGAUGCUGACGAGUGGCGAACGGGUGAGUAAUGUAUCGGAACGUGCCCAGUAGUGGGGGAUAACUACUCGAAAGAGUGGCUAAUACCGCAUGAGAUCUCUGGAUGAAAGCGGGGGACCGUAAGGCCUCGCGCUACUGGAGCGGCCGAUAUCAGAUUAGGUUGUUGGUGAGGUAAAGGCUCACCAAGCCGACGAUCUGUAGCUGGUCUGAGAGGACGACCAGCCACACUGGGACUGAGACACGGCCCAGACUCCUACGGGAGGCAGCAGUGGGGAAUUUUGGACAAUGGGCGCAAGCCUGAUCCAGCAAUGCCGCGUGCAGGACGAAGGCCUCGGUUGUAACUAGCUUU